This 484-nucleotide ribosomal RNA is filed under the name uncultured bacterium. RNAcentral describes it as "partial 16S ribosomal RNA". It matches the Rfam family "Bacterial small subunit ribosomal RNA", at positions 30 to 507 of the family's 1533-position model. The record is from RNAcentral.
AUUGAACGCUGGCGGCAGGCCUAACACAUGCAAGUCGAGCGGAUGAAGGGAGCUUGCUCCUGGAUUCAGCGGCGGACGGGUGAGUAAUGCCUAUGAAUCUGCCUGGUUGUGGGGUAUAACGUCCGGAAACGGGCGCUAUUACCGCAUACGUCCUGAGGCUGAUAGUGGUGGAUCUUCGGUCCUCACGCUAUCUGAUGUCCCUAGGUCGGAUUAUCGAGUUGGUUGGGUAAAGUCCUACCAAGGCGACGAUCCGUAACUGGUAUGAGAGGCUGAUCAGUCACACUGGAACUGAGACACGGACCAGACGCCUACGGGAGGCAGCAGUGGGGAAUAUUGGACAAUGGGGGAAAGAAUGAUAAAGCAAUGCCGCGGGUGUGAAGAAGGUCUUCGGAUUGUAAAGAACUUUAAGUGGGGAGGAAGGGCAGUAAGUUAAUACCUUGCUGGUUUGACGUUACCAACAGAAUAAGCACCGGCUAACUACGUG